UGCAGUCGACGGUAAGGCCUCUUCGGGGGUACACGAGUGGCGAACGGGUGAGUAACACGUGAGUAACCUGCCCCAGUCUCUGGGAUAACUUCUGGAAACAGGUGCUAAUACCGGAUAUUCAGCUUUCCUCGCAUGGGGUUUGUUGGAAAGGUUUUCUGGUCUGGGAUGGACUCGCGGCCUAUCAGCUUGUUGGUGAGGUAGUGGCUCACCAAGGCUUCGACGGGUAGCCGGCCUGAGAGGGUGACCGGCCACAUUGGGACUGAGAUACGGCCCAAACUCCUACGGGAGGCAGCAGUGGGGAAUAUUGCACAAUGGGCGGAAGCCUGAUGCAGCAACGCCGCGUGCGGGAUGACGGCCUUCGGGUUGUAAACCGCUUUCAGUGGGGACGAAGUUUUUUGUGACGGUACCCACAGAAGAAGCACCGGCUAACUACGUGCCAGCAGCCGCGGUGAUACGUAGGGUGCGAGCGUUGUCCGGAUUUAUUGGGCGUAAAGAGCUUGUAGGCGGUUUGUCGCGUCGGGAGUGAAAACUCAGGGCUUAACUCUGAGCUUGCUUUCGAUACGGGCUGACUUGAGGAAGGUAGGGGAGAANGGAAUUCCUGGUGAAGCGGUGGAAUGCGUAGAUAUCAGGAGGAACACCGGUGG
Molecule: ribosomal RNA, 644 nt
Filed under: Tessaracoccus lapidicaptus
Lineage: Bacteria; Bacillati; Actinomycetota; Actinomycetes; Propionibacteriales; Propionibacteriaceae
Description: bacterial SSU rRNA
Rfam family: Bacterial small subunit ribosomal RNA
Source: RNAcentral